CCCGCUGAACUUAAGCAUAUCAAUAAGCGGAGGAAAAGAAACUAACAAGGAUUCCCCUAGUAACUGCGAGUGAAGCGGGAAAAGCUCAAAUUUAAAAUCUAAUAGUUUUUAACUAUUCGAGUUGUAAUCUGGAGAAGUGUUUUCUGUGCUGGACCGUGUAUAAGUCUCUUGGAAUAGAGCGUCAUAGAGGGUGAGAAUCCCGUCUUUGACACGGACUACCAGUACUUUGUGAUACACUCUCAAAGAGUCGAGUUGUUUGGGAAUGCAGCUCAAAAUGGGUGGUAAAUUCCAUCUAAAGCUAAAUAUUGGCGAGAGACCGAUAGCGAACAAGUACCGUGAGGGAAAGAUGAAAAGCACUUUGGAAAGAGAGUUAAACAGUACGUGAAAUUGCUGAAAGGGAAACGCUUGAAGUCAGUCGCGUUAGCUAGAACUCAGCCUUACUUUGGUUUGGUGCAUUUUCUAGUUGACGGGUCAGCAUCAGUUUUGACUGCUAGAAAAAGGCUAGAGAAAUGUGGCACCUCUGGGUGUGUUAUAGUCUCUAGUUGUAUAUAGUGGUUGGGACUGAGGAUUGCAGCACGCCUUUAAUGGUUGGGGUUUUUGCCUACAUUCGUGCUUAGGAUGCUGACAUAAUGGCUUUAAACGACCCGUCUUGAAACACGG
This 660-nucleotide ribosomal RNA is filed under the name uncultured fungus. RNAcentral's name for it is "eukaryotic LSU rRNA". It matches the Rfam family "Eukaryotic large subunit ribosomal RNA", at positions 24 to 664 of the family's 3401-position model. The record is from RNAcentral. Lineage: Eukaryota; Fungi.